Molecule: long non-coding RNA, 1511 nt
Filed under: Olea europaea subsp. europaea
Lineage: Eukaryota; Viridiplantae; Streptophyta; Magnoliopsida; Lamiales; Oleaceae
Source: RNAcentral
GUUGGCUUUCAAUCUUGUUUGGUAAAAGAUACCAUUUCUUUCAUGGUAAAAUAAGGGUUAAAAGUAGAGAUAUAAUGACGGGUCCAUUUGAUAAAAAAUUAAUAAAAGUUUAGUAAAUUUGGAUAAAAGUUGAUAAAAUGUAUUGUUGAAUAAUUGAUAGAAAUUGUGAAAUUUAUGAAACAUGCGGUUAAAAUUGAAGUUUGAUCAUUUUUUCAAGUGAUAAAUUUUUAAUAAUUUAAGUUUGAUUAGUUGAAAAGUGUUAACAAAGUUUUAUCAAGUAAGCACUAAAAAUCAUGGAAAGAACCCUAUAAAUUUCGAAACAUGCUAUAUAAACAGGCUUGGAGACAGAUUUAAAACCAGGUGGAGGUACGUGUCGACUCGGGAUUGGAAAGUUUGAAAAAAAUAAAAAUAAAUAACAUCCUAUCAUUAAUUCACACACCGAUUUAUUUUCUACAAUUCCGUUUUUUGAGCCUGUUCAAGAGGAAUUAUUCGUCAAUUUCGUAGACUUUUGUCUUCAUUUUUCAAUAAUUAAAUAGUAGAAACUUCCAAGAUUGAACUUCGUUUUCACACCUACCCAAUGAGGUUUAAAGGAUAUUGAUGGGACCCUUCACCGCGUGAUUAAGGAAAAAUAUUUUGGGUUAGGCCGAAUAGUUACUUUUCUUUAUUUAUGAUAUAUUUUAGAUAUUGAUUCAGACCCUUAUACGAAAUGUGUGAAAAAAAUGAUUUGACCGAAUACGAAUAAUUUAUAAACAUGGUGAAAGAUAGGGUCGACGUGCCAUAUGUUUUGGUCAAUAUUUGUUGCUGCCAAACUUGGGGUUUUCGAAUAUUUAUUCGAUUGUGGUAAUGAGAAUUGAUUUUUUAAUCGUUAAAGAAAAAAGUGAGUUUCAUCUGUGAGUAAAGAAGUAAAAAAUGACGACUGAAAAUAAAAUAAUAAUCAAAAAAUUGAUUUUUUGGACAAAAAAUUGCUAAGAAACAGGGCUAAAUUAAAUUCAUUUUUUAAGAGACAGAAACUCUUCCAAAUUGGUUUUAUUAGGUAAAAUGAGAGAGAGAGAUUAAUGGGUGGGCCAUGGGCUUGAAAAUAUGGAAUUCGGUCUGUGUUUGUCUGCAUCUGUGUUUAUGACCUAUAUAUAUUAGUGGUGAGUUGUGGCCGAAAAUAGCGUUCAAACUUCCAUUAUUUUUUGUUUGAUUCAACGGCUGGAAAGUAUAUUUGAUUAUUUUCUCAUCCAGACUUUUCUAAACUUGACGUGGCAGUUGGGAAUUUAUGGUGGAAAGGUACAAAUAUAGGUGGUAGUGGUCAAUUUCAUGUGCAUUUAGUCCUACCAUUGGUAAUUUAAAUGUUUCUUAGUGGUAGGUUUAGUCCAUUAUUUGGUCCCAUCAGCACGACUGAACUUUUUGUAUGGUCAUUUAUGCGAAUAAAGUUCAGACAAUACACUGAUAUGCUCAAACAUUGUGGCAUAUCUGAAUUAGAUCUUCUUUUCUAUAGUUAUAUGUGGUAUGUAGCUUAGUCCAAC